GACAUAGUCAGAACAUGGCAGCUUCUAGAAUUGGUUCAAUCUUCUGCUCGAGUGGCAGAGGCCAAAGGCCUGGAGCCGACCAAGGAGAGAUUAUCUAGGUUAAGAAUCAUCAGUGGCUGAUCAUCCCUCAAAGACAAACAACUAGACAAGAUGUGGCUCCUGAUAGAAGAACGCAGGCCACCACUUACGAAACACCUUGGCUGCCUCCCUCCCCCAGGAAACAAGGCAUGAAGAGAAAACCAACCUCUCCUUUCUGGUUGAUGAUGGGAACAGCAUAUUGUAACUUCACAUCAUAGAAAAGGGACUCGAGGAAGACAUUGGCCACCCCAAUGAGACUGUGAUUUUCCUGCUCAUCAUAGAAUGGAUCAGCACGUUUGAAGUACGAUCGUAUUACCUGUAAAGAGAUUGAGAACAUACAACUUCAGAAAAAUCAUUUACAAUAAAUGCAUUCAACCUAC
This 458-nucleotide non-coding RNA is filed under the name Pongo abelii (Sumatran orangutan). The record is from RNAcentral. Lineage: Eukaryota; Metazoa; Chordata; Mammalia; Primates; Hominidae.